GCAGACUGUAUACUAUGCCAAAGCAUUCUCUAAAGACUUGCCAAGAGCUGUAGAAAUUCUUGCUGAUAUAAUACAAAACAGCACAUUGGGAGAAGCAGAGAUUGAACGUGAGCGUGGAGUAAUCCUUAGAGAGAUGCAGGAAGUUGAAACCAAUUUACAAGAAGUUGUUUUUGAUUAUCUUCAUGCCACAGCUUAUCAAAAUACUGCACUUGGACGGACAAUUUUGGGACCAACUGAAAAUAUCAAAUCUAUAAGUCGUAAGGACUUAGUGGAUUAUAUAACCACACAUUAUAAGGGGCCAAGAAUAGUGCUUGCUGCUGCUGGAGGUGUUUCCCAUGAUGAAUUGCUUGACUUAGCAAAGUUUCAUUUCGGUGACUCUUUAUGCACACACAAAGGAGAAAUACCAGCUCUGCCUCCCUGCAAAUUCACAGGAAGUGAGGUAGGGCAAGCCUUCCAGCUAAUGCCUUUGGCGCACCUUGCAAUAGCUGUUGAAGCUGUUGGUUGGGCACAUCCAGAUACAAUCUGUCUCAUGGUUGCAAACACGCUGAUUGGCAACUGGGAUCGCUCUUUUGGGGGAGGAAUGAAUUUAUCUAGCAAGCUGGCCCAGCUCACUUGUCAUGGCAAUCUUUGCCAUAGCUUUCAGUCUUUCAACACUUCCUACACAGAUACAGGAUUAUGGGGACUGUAUAUGGUUUGUGAAUCAUCCACUGUUGCAGACAUGCUACAUGUUGUUCAAAAAGAAUGGAUGCGACUCUGUACAAGUGUCACAGAAAGUGAGGUUGCACGAGCCAGAAAUCUUCUGAAAACAAACAUGUUGUUGCAGCUUGAUGGUUCAACUCCAAUUUGUGAAGAUAUUGGUAGGCAAAUGUUAUGCUAUAAUAGAAGGAUUCCCAUCCCUGAGCUUGAAGCAAGAAUUGAUGCUGUGAAUGCUGAGACAAUUCGAGAAGUAUGUACCAAAUACAUUUAUAAUAGGAGUCCAGCUAUUGCUGCUGUUGGUAAGCCUGGCUUCUUUUCUUCUAUGCAAAAAGUUGGCCAAGUACUUUUAAUUAACUCUUCUUUUUAAUCCUUAGGUCCCAUUAAGCAACUACCAGAUUUUAAACAGAUACGCAGUAACAUGUGUUGGCUUCGUGAUUAAAAUGCUCCUAAUCAAGAUUGUUUGAACACAUGUAUUUAUAAAACAGAGCUAGAGAAAAAUAAAAAUGAACAUGUAUAUACAUUUGGAAAUUUGAAUUAAAUACUGUAUCAUACUUUCAAA
RNAcentral lists this long non-coding RNA (1255 nucleotides) under Homo sapiens (human). RNAcentral describes it as "long non-coding RNA NONHSAT212479.1". Lineage: Eukaryota; Metazoa; Chordata; Mammalia; Primates; Hominidae. The record is from RNAcentral.